Long non-coding RNA from Carassius gibelio (silver crucian carp), 950 nucleotides. RefSeq lists it as uncharacterized. The transcript is spliced from 2 exons. The record is from RefSeq and is a predicted model, not a curated record. Lineage: Eukaryota; Metazoa; Chordata; Actinopteri; Cypriniformes; Cyprinidae.
GUCAGCUGCUCGAGCAUCACAGGCUGCGUUAACUCUUGGCGUUAGCAGAAGACCUGUAUCAAGAUGUUGUCCAUUUCUAGGACACAGCCCUGCCUGAUGCCUCGCUGAAGCUGUUUGUAACUACAGUAAAUCUGCAGCACUGCUCAAAAUCAACCUGAUUUUAGUCUCCAUAUCCAUUACGAUCAGCACAAAGAUUCAGCAAGUGCAAAAUGCCACGAUCAAAGGAAAUUCCAGAAGAUGUGAAAGAAAAGAUCAUUUUUUACCAUAAGUCUGGCAAGGGUUACAAAGCUGUUUCUAAAAUUAUGGGACUGCAUCGAUCCACUGUAAGAACUAUAAUCUCCAAAUGGAAAACACAUGGAACAGUGAUGAAUCGUCCCAGGAGUGGUCGACCCACAAAAAUUUCACCACGGACACAACGUAAAAUCAUCCAAGAAGUCGCAAAGAAACCUGGAAUAACGUCAAAAGAACUGCAGGCUUCUCUUGCUUUAGCCAAAGUCAAAGUUCAUGACUCUACAAUCCGACGGAAACUGGGCCAAAUGAGAAAACUCAAGAUGGUAUCAAAGCAAAAAACACUGCAGGAAAAGAAUAGAAAUGCUUGUGUCUUGUUUGAAAAUAAUCUCCAGGAUGAUUCCCAAGUUUAUGGAGAAAGUCCUAUAAAAACAGAAGUGGCAGAAGUGGAAGUUUUUAUUUGAUAAGAGUCCAGUGUAAAACAAACAGGCAUACUGUAAGCCAAAGUAUAUUGAUUAAAAAAAGAAAAUCUAUUUUCUACCUGUAUUCACCUCAUGGUGACUAUUUUUUUAAUAUUAUUAUUAUUUUUUUUUUUUUGUUGUUGCUGUGUCAGGUAUAAAUACAGUACUUGAACUCACUGUAUAAGGACUAAAAAAUAAUAAAAUGACUCAUCUAUAGUACUAUCCCUUUGCAAAGGAAAUAAAAAAAAGCAUGCCUGUCAA